GAAGAACGCUGGCGGCGUGCCUAAUACAUGCAAGUCGAGCGGACGAAUCGAAAGCUUGCUUUUGAUUCGUUAGCGGCGGACGGGUGAGUAACACGUGGGCAACCUGCCCUGUAGACGGGGAUAACACCGAGAAAUCGGUGCUAAUACCGGAUAACACGAAAUGUCGCAUGACGUUUCGUUGAAAGACGGCGCAAGCUGUCGCUACAGGAUGGGCCCGCGGCGCAUUAGCUAGUUGGUGAGGUAACGGCUCACCAAGGCGACGAUGCGUAGCCGACCUGAGAGGGUGAUCGGCCACACUGGGACUGAGACACGGCCCAGACUCCUACGGGAGGCAGCAGUAAGGAAUCUUCCGCAAUGGACGAAAGUCUGACGGAGCAACGCCGCGUGAGCGAAGAAGGCCUUCGGGUCGUAAAGCUCUGUUGUUAGGGAAGAACAAGUAACGCAGUAACUGGCGUUACCGUGACGGUACCUAACGAGAAAGCCACGGCUAACUACGUG
RNAcentral lists this ribosomal RNA (498 nucleotides) under uncultured bacterium. RNAcentral describes it as "partial 16S ribosomal RNA". It matches the Rfam family "Bacterial small subunit ribosomal RNA", at positions 31 to 507 of the family's 1533-position model. The record is from RNAcentral.